CAGUCGCCACGGUAAUACGAAGGGGGCUAGCGUUGCUCGGAAUUACUGGGCGUAAAGGGCGCGUAGGCGGACAGUUCAGUCGGGGGUGAAAGCCCGGGGCUCAACCUCGGAAUUGCCUUCGAUACUGGCUGUCUUGAGUAUGAGAGAGGUGUGUGGAACUCCGAGUGUAGAGGUGAAAUUCGUAGAUAUUCGGAAGAACACCAGCGGCGAAGGCGACACACUGGCUCAUUACUGACGCUGAGGCUCGAAAGCGUGGGGAGCAAACAGGAUUAGAUACCCCAGUAGUCCCUGUCUCUUAUAA
Molecule: ribosomal RNA, 301 nt
Filed under: uncultured bacterium
Lineage: Bacteria
Description: partial 16S ribosomal RNA
Rfam family: Bacterial small subunit ribosomal RNA
Source: RNAcentral